UAUUUUAGCCAGGCGCGCAGAAAUCCCCAGACCGACGAGCAGUGCCCAAUCGAUACGAGCAAUCCGGCGGAUACAUAUACACACACACACACACACACGCAUGCACAGUCACACACACACAGAGAGUAGCGGUCACAGAUACGGAACACACAAGCACAGGCACAGAUACAGAUACAGAUACUGAGUUCAGUUCGGUUUCUGCUUCUUUUAUUCGUCGCAACUUUGGUUGGUGGUU
This is a non-coding RNA of Drosophila melanogaster (fruit fly), 235 nucleotides long. NCBI's taxonomy places the organism in Eukaryota, Metazoa, Arthropoda, Insecta, Diptera, Drosophilidae. The record is from Ensembl.